This 362-nucleotide ribosomal RNA is filed under the name uncultured bacterium. RNAcentral describes it as "bacterial SSU rRNA". It matches the Rfam family "Bacterial small subunit ribosomal RNA", at positions 28 to 408 of the family's 1533-position model. The record is from RNAcentral.
GACGAACGCUGGCGGCGUGCUUAACACAUGCAAGUCAAGGACCGUAGCAAUACGGGACUGGCGCACGGGUGCGGAACACGUAGGCAAUCUGCCCUUCAGGGGAGAACAACCAGCCGAAAGGUCGGCUAAAUCUCCGUAAAAUCAUAGAGUGGCAUCACUUAUUGAUCAAGUUUUCUGAAGGAUGAGCCUGCGUCUGAUUAGCUAGUUGGCGGGUAACGCCCACAAGGCUACGAUCAGUAGCUGGUCUGAGAGGAUGAUCAGCCACAUUGGGACUGAGAUACGGCCCAGACUCCUACGGGAGGCAGCAGUGAGGAAUAUGCUCAAUGGGGGAAACCCUGAAGCAGCAACGCCGACGUAAAGGA